This 253-nucleotide ribosomal RNA is filed under the name uncultured bacterium. RNAcentral's name for it is "partial 16S ribosomal RNA". It matches the Rfam family "Bacterial small subunit ribosomal RNA", at positions 524 to 776 of the family's 1533-position model. The record is from RNAcentral.
UACAGAGGUGGCAAGCGUUGUUCGGAAUUACUGGGCGUAAAGGGCGCGUAGGCGGCCUUCUUAGUCGGACGUGAAAUCUCCAGGCUCAACUUGGGAACUGCGUCCGAUACUGGAUGGCUUGAGUGCGGGAGAGGGAUGUGGAAUUCCAGGUGUAGCGGUGAAAUGCGUAGAUAUCCGGAGGAACACCAGUGGCGAAAGCGGCCACCUGGGCUGUACCUGACGCUGACACGCGAAAGCUAGGGGAGCGAACGGG